GUGCAGCAGGCGCGAAACCUCCGCAAUACACGAAAGUGUGACGGGGUCAUCCCGAGUGCCGUCCGCUGAGGACGGCUUUUCCCCAGUGUACACAGCUGGGGGAAUAAGGAGAGGGCAAGCCUGGUGUCAGCCGCCGCGGUAAUACCAGCUCUCCGAGUGGUGGGGACGCUUAUUGGGCCUAAAGCAUCCGUAGCCGGCUGGGCAAGUCCUCCGUUAAAUCCAACGAUUCAAUCGUUGGGCUGCGGGGGAUACUGUCCAGCUUGGGGGCGGGAGAGGCCGACGGUAUUCCCGGGGUAGGGGUGAAAUCCUAUAAUCCCGGGAGGACCACCAGUGGCGAAGGCUGUCGGCUAGAACGCGCCCGACGGUGAGGGAUGAAAGCUGGGGGAGCGAACCGGAUUAGAUACCCCGGUA
RNAcentral lists this ribosomal RNA (411 nucleotides) under uncultured microorganism. RNAcentral describes it as "bacterial SSU rRNA". It matches the Rfam family "Archaeal small subunit ribosomal RNA", at positions 330 to 743 of the family's 1478-position model. The record is from RNAcentral.